GAUGAACGCUAGCUACAGGCUUAACACAUGCAAGUCGAGGGGCAGCAUUUCGCUAGCAAUAGUGAAGAUGGCGACCGGCGCACGGGUGAGUAACACGUAUCCAACCUGCCGAUAACUCGGGGAUAGCCUUUCGAAAGAAAGAUUAAUAUCCGAUGGUAUAUUAAAACCGCAUGGUUUUACUAUUAAAGAAUUUCGGUUAUCGAUGGGGAUGCGUUCCAUUAGUUUGUUGGCGGGGUAACGGCCCACCAAGACUACGAUGGAUAGGGGUUCUGAGAGGAAGGUCCCCCACAUUGGAACUGAGACACGGUCCAAACUCCUACGGGAGGCAGCAGUGAGGAAUAUUGGUCAAUGGGCGAGAGCCUGAACCAGCCAAGUAGCGUGCAGGAUGACGGCCCUAUGGGUUGUAAACUGCUUUUAUAAGGGAUAAAGUGAGUCUCGUGAGACUUUUUGCAUGUACCUUAUGAAUAAGGACCGGCUAAUUCCGUG
RNAcentral lists this ribosomal RNA (486 nucleotides) under uncultured bacterium. RNAcentral describes it as "bacterial SSU rRNA". It matches the Rfam family "Bacterial small subunit ribosomal RNA", at positions 28 to 507 of the family's 1533-position model. The record is from RNAcentral.